GACGAACGCUGGCGGCGUGCUUAACACAUGCAAGUCGAACGGGCUCUGUCUGGCUGUGUGCUGGGUGGGGUUAGUGGCGAACGGGUGAGUAAUACGUGAGUAACCUGCCCUCUUCUUUGGGAUAAGCCUUGGAAACGGGGUCUAAUACUGGAUAUUCCUGUCUGGUCGCAUAGCUGGGUGGGGAAAGUUUUUUUCGGUGGGGGAUGGGCUCGCGGCCUAUCAGCUUGUUGGUGGGGUGAUGGCCUACCAAGGCGUCGACGGGUAGCCGGCCUGAGAGGGUGACCGGCAACACUGGGACUGGGAUACGGCCCAGACUCCUACGGGAGGCAGCAGUGGGGGAUAUGGCACAAUGGGCGCAAGCCUGAUGCAGCGACGCCGCGUGGGGGAUGACGGCUUUCGGGUUGUAAACCUCUUUCGUCGGGGGACAAGGCUCUGCUUGGUGGUGGGGUUGAGGGUACCCGGUGAAGAAGCGCCGGCUAACUACGUG
Molecule: ribosomal RNA, 487 nt
Filed under: uncultured bacterium
Lineage: Bacteria
Description: partial 16S ribosomal RNA
Rfam family: Bacterial small subunit ribosomal RNA
Source: RNAcentral